Molecule: ribosomal RNA, 720 nt
Filed under: Triticum aestivum (bread wheat)
Lineage: Eukaryota; Viridiplantae; Streptophyta; Magnoliopsida; Poales; Poaceae
Description: partial small subunit ribosomal RNA
Source: RNAcentral
AUGGAAAAGUAUUGGUGGAGCAGCUCCGCUGACAAACAUUCAUUACACUGGAUUUCUUGGGAGAAGCUAGCUACACUGAAGACCAAGGGAGGCAUGGGAUUCUGAGAUUUUGAGAAGUUCAACUUGGCACUUCUCGGGCAACAAGGAUGGCGCUUGAUUAUACAUCCUCGCUCAGUAUGCUCACGUGUACUCAAAGGGAAGUACUUCCAGGAGUGUGAUUUUAUGCAGGCUCAAGCUCCAGGUAAAUCUUCAGCAACAUGGAAAGCGAUCAUAUUCGGGAGAGAAGCACUGCAAAUGGGGUUGUUGAAACGAGUGGGGGACGGCUCAACAAUUUGCAUAUGGAAUGAUUGGUGGAUUCCUGACUCAACCACAUUGAAACCAAUUUGCAGAGUAGGAAAUGAGGACCUCACUCAUGUUUCGGACCUCAUUAAUCAAAACAGAUAUUGGGACAUCAAAACAAUCAAGAGAAAUUUCUUUGCACCAGACACAACUGCCAUUCUUAAUAUCCUUUUGUGGGCAUCAGGUGGAGAAGAUACUUUGAGUUGGGCAUUAGAAAGAUCAGGUGAAUAUUCAGUCAAAACAACAUAUCAUGCUCUUGUGACUCAUGACGAGCAUCGAUCUCUAGAGGAAGGGGCGGCAGCAGGGACUUCAUCAUCAGAUCUUCACCUUUGGUCUGCUCUAUGGAAACUCAAGGUAAUCCUGAGAGUUUGGGUCUUUUGA